This 254-nucleotide ribosomal RNA is filed under the name uncultured bacterium. RNAcentral's name for it is "partial 16S ribosomal RNA". It matches the Rfam family "Bacterial small subunit ribosomal RNA", at positions 524 to 776 of the family's 1533-position model. The record is from RNAcentral.
UACGGAGGAUCCGAGCGUUAUCCGGAUUUAUUGGGUUUAAAGGGUGCGCAGGCGGCCGUGUGUGUCAGGUGUGAAAGCCCGGAGCUUAACUCCGGAAUUGCGCCUGAAACUACAUGGCUAGAGCAUUGGAGAGGGAAGUGGAAUUCACGGUGUAGCAGUGAAAUGCGUAGAUAUCGUGAGGAACACCAGAGGCGAAGGCGGCCAACUGGUCCGGUACUGACGCUGAGGUGCGAAAGCGUGGGGGAGCAAACAGG